RNAcentral lists this ribosomal RNA (358 nucleotides) under Ensifer meliloti. RNAcentral describes it as "Sinorhizobium meliloti bacterial SSU rRNA". It matches the Rfam family "Bacterial small subunit ribosomal RNA", at positions 993 to 1350 of the family's 1533-position model. The record is from RNAcentral. Lineage: Bacteria; Pseudomonadati; Pseudomonadota; Alphaproteobacteria; Hyphomicrobiales; Rhizobiaceae.
UUGGGCAGUGGAGACAUUGUCCUUCAGUUAGGCUGGCCCCAGAACAGGUGCUGCAUGGCUGUCGUCAGCUCGUGUCGUGAGAUGUUGGGUUAAGUCCCGCAACGAGCGCAACCCUCGCCCUUAGUUGCCAGCAUUUAGUUGGGCACUCUAAGGGGACUGCCGGUGAUAAGCCGAGAGGAAGGUGGGGAUGACGUCAAGUCCUCAUGGCCCUUACGGGCUGGGCUACACACGUGCUACAAUGGUGGUGACAGUGGGCAGCGAGACAGCGAUGUCGAGCUAAUCUCCAAAAGCCAUCUCAGUUCGGAUUGCACUCUGCAACUCGAGUGCAUGAAGUUGGAAUCGCUAGUAAUCGCAGAUC